Molecule: ribosomal RNA, 3055 nt
Filed under: Paenibacillus senegalimassiliensis
Lineage: Bacteria; Bacillati; Bacillota; Bacilli; Caryophanales; Paenibacillaceae
Description: bacterial LSU rRNA
Rfam family: Bacterial large subunit ribosomal RNA
Source: RNAcentral
UUAAGCUACUAAGAGCACACGGAGGAUGCCUAGGCGCUAGGAGCCGAAGAAGGACGUGGCGAACAACGAAACUGCCUCGGGGAGCUGUAAGCAAGCAUCGAUCCGGGGGUGUCCGAAUGGGGAAACCCGGCUAGGUUAAUACCUAGUCACUCACUGCUGAAUACAUAGGCAGUGAAGAGGCAGACCAGGGGAACUGAAACAUCUAAGUACCCUGAGGAAGAGAAAACAAAAGUGAUUCCGUCAGUAGCGGCGAGCGAACGCGGAGAAGCCUAAACCAAGGAGCUUGCUCCUUGGGGUUGUGGGACGUCUCACACGGAGUUAUAAAGGAGCAUGUUAGACGAAGAGGUCUGGAAAGGCCCGCCAAAGAAGGUAAAAGCCCUGUAAUCGAAAGUGUGCUCUCUCCGAGACGGAUCCCGAGUAGUGCGGGGCACGUGAAACCCCGUAUGAAUCCGCCAGGACCAUCUGGUAAGGCUAAAUACUUCCUAGCGACCGAUAGUGAAACAGUACCGUGAGGGAAAGGUGAAAAGCACCCCGGAAGGGGAGUGAAAUAGAUCCUGAAACCGUGUGCUUACAAGAAGUCAGAGCUCUAUUAAUGAGUGAUGGCGUGCCUUUUGUAGAAUGAACCGGCGAGUUACGUUUGCAAGCAAGGUUAAGGUGAGAAGCCGGAGCCGUAGCGAAAGCGAGUCUGAAUAGGGCGUUUUAGUUUGUAGGCGUAGACCCGAAACCGUGUGAUCUACCCCUGUCCAGGGUGAAGGUGCGGUAACACGCACUGGAGGCCCGAACCCACGUAUGUUGAAAAAUGCGGGGAUGAGGUGGGGGUAGCGGAGAAAUUCCAAUCGAACUCGGAGAUAGCUGGUUCUCCCCGAAAUAGCUUUAGGGCUAGCCUCGGUGGAAUAGUCGUGGAGGUAGAGCACUGAUUGGGUGCGGGGCCCGCCAAGGGUUACCAAGCUCAGUCAAACUCCGAAUGCCAUAGACUACUAACCGGGAGUCAGACAGUGAGUGCUAAGAUCCAUUGUCAAAAGGGAAACAGCCCAGACCAUCAGCUAAGGUCCCCAAGUGUGUGUUAAGUGGGAAAGGAUGUGGAGUUGCACAGACAACCAGGAUGUUGGCUUAGAAGCAGCCACCAUUGAAAGAGUGCGUAAUAGCUCACUGGUCGAGUGACUCUGCGCCGAAAAUGUAACGGGGCUAAACACACCACCGAAGCUAUGGCUUGAUACUUAAAAGUAUCAGGGGUAGGGGAGCGUUGUAUAUGCGUUGAAGGUGUACCGUAAGGAGCGCUGGAGAGUAUACAAGUGAGAAUGCCGGUAUGAGUAACGAAAAGAUCAGUGAGAAUCUGAUCCGCCGAAAGCCCAAGGUNGGGGUAGGGGAGCGUUGUAUAUGCGUAGAAGGUGUACCGUAAGGAGCGCUGGAGAGUAUACAAGUGAGAAUGCCGGUAUGAGUAACGAAAAGAUCAGUGAGAAUCUGAUCCGCCGAAAGCCCAAGGUUUCCUGAGGAAGGCUCGUCCGCUCAGGGUAAGUCGGGACCUAAGGCGAGGCCGAAAGGCGUAGUCGAAGGACAACAGGUGGAAAUUCCUGUACCACCGUAAUCCGUUAUGAGUGAUGGGGUGACGCAGUAGGGUAGUGACGCAGGCUGAUGGAUGCCUGUCCAAGCAGUGAGGCUGGUGUGUAGGCAAAUCCGCACACCGUAAGGCUGGGCUGUGAUGGGGAGUGAAAAUUACAGUAGCGAAGGUCAUGAUCUCAGACUGCCAAGAAAAGCCUCUAACCAGGAGAAGGUGCCCGUACCGCAAACCGACACAGGUAGGCGAGAAGAGAAUUCUAAGGCGCGCGGAAGAACUCUCGUUAAGGAACUCGGCAAAAUGACCCCGUAACUUCGGGAGAAGGGGUGCCCCGGUAGUGUGAAUAGCACGAGGGGGCCGCAGUGAAAAGGCCCAAGCGACUGUUUAGCAAAAACACAGGUCUGUGCGAAGCCGCAAGGCGAAGUAUACGGGCUGACGCCUGCCCGGUGCUGGAAGGUUAAGGGGAGCGGUUAGGAGCAAUCCGAAGCUGUGAACCGAAGCCCCAGUAAACGGCGGCCGUAACUAUAACGGUCCUAAGGUAGCGAAAUUCCUUGUCAGGUAAAUUCUGACCCGCACGAAUGGCGUAACGACUUGGGCGCUGUCUCAACGAGAGAUCCGGUGAAAUUUUAAUACCUGUGAAGAUGCAGGUUACCCGCGACAAGACGGAAAGACCCCAUGGAGCUUUACUGCAGCUUGAUAUUGGACUUUGAUACGAUUUGUACAGGAUAGGUGGGAGCCUAGGAAGAGGGAGCGCAAGCUUCCUUGGAGGCGCCGUUGGGAUACCACCCUGAUCGUAUCGGAGUUCUAACCUGGUACCGUGAACCGGUAUGGGGACAGUGUCAGGUGGGCAGUUUGACUGGGGCGGUCGCCUCCUAAAGAGUAACGGAGGCGCCCCAAGGUUCCCUCAGAAUGGUUGGAAAUCAUUCGCAGAGUGCAAAGGCAAAAGGGAGCUUGACUGCGAGACUGACAAGUCGAGCAGGGAGGAAACUCGGGCUUAGUGAUCCGGUGGUACCGCAUGGAAGGGCCAUCGCUCAACGGAUAAAAGCUACCCUGGGGAUAACAGGCUUAUCUCCCCCAAGAGUCCACAUCGACGGGGAGGUUUGGCACCUCGAUGUCGGCUCAUCGCAUCCUGGGGCUGAAGUAGGUCCCAAGGGUUGGGCUGUUCGCCCAUUAAAGCGGUACGCGAGCUGGGUUCAGAACGUCGUGAGACAGUUCGGUCCCUAUCUGUCGUGGGCGUAGGAAAUUUGAGAGGAGCUGUCCUUAGUACGAGAGGACCGGGAUGGACGCACCGCUGGUGUACCAGUUGUUCCGCCAGGAGCAUAGCUGGGUAGCUAAGUGCGGAAGGGAUAAGCGCUGAAAGCAUCUAAGCGUGAAGCCCCCCUCAAGAUGAGAUUUCCCAAUUAGUAAGACCCCUUGAAGACGACGAGGUUGAUAGGCCUGAGGUGGAAGUGCAGCAAUGUAUGGAGCUGACAGGUACUAAUCGGUCGAGGGCUUAUCCAA